This 254-nucleotide ribosomal RNA is filed under the name uncultured bacterium. RNAcentral describes it as "partial 16S ribosomal RNA". It matches the Rfam family "Bacterial small subunit ribosomal RNA", at positions 524 to 776 of the family's 1533-position model. The record is from RNAcentral.
UACGUAGGGUGCGAGCGUUGUCCGGAAUUAUUGGGCGUAAAGAGCUCGUAGGCGGUGUGUCGCGUCGGCCGUGAAAACCUGGGGCUUAACUCUGGGCGUGCGGUCGAUACGGGCAUCACUAGAGUUCGGCAGGGGAGACUGGAAUUCCUGGUGUAGCGGUGAAAUGCGCAGAUAUCAGGAGGAACACCGGUGGCGAAGGCGGGUCUCUGGGCCGUAACUGACGCUGAGGAGCGAAAGCGUGGGGAGCGAACAGG